RNAcentral lists this ribosomal RNA (516 nucleotides) under uncultured bacterium. RNAcentral describes it as "bacterial SSU rRNA". It matches the Rfam family "Bacterial small subunit ribosomal RNA", at positions 15 to 518 of the family's 1533-position model. The record is from RNAcentral.
GAUCCUGGCUUAGGAUAAACGCUGGCGGCGUGCCUAACACAUGCAAGUCGAACGAAGUUUGUUCUACCCGACGGAUUAUCUUCGGAUAAGAAGUCAUUGAAACGCUUAGGUGGCGGACGGGUGAGUAACGCGUGGGCAACCUGCCCUGCACAGGGGGAUAGCAGUUGGAAACGACUGGUAAUACCGCAUACAUUGCAUUUGCCGCAUGACAGAUGCAAGAAAACGUUUAGUGGUGCAGGAUGGGCCCGCGUCCGAUUAGUUAGUUGGUGGGGUAACGGCCUACCAAGACGACGAUCGGUAGCCGACCUGAGAGGGCGGACGGCCACAUUGGGACUGAGACACGGCCCAGACUCCUACGGGAGGCAGCAGUGGGGAAUAUUGCACAAUGGGGGAAACCCUGAUGCAAGCGACGCCGCGUGAGUGAAGAAGUAUUUCGGUAUGUAAAGCUCUAUCAGCAGGGAAGAUAAUGACGGUACCUGACUAAGAAGCCCCGGCUAAAUACGUGCCAGCCGCCGC